AGCAGCAGCAGUUGUGGUAGCAGUAGCAACAGUGCGAUAGAUGCACGGACUCAUAAGGUGAAACACGAAACUGGAGCAGUUCAGUUCGCUGAAGGCAGGCGUCGCUGAAGGUAGUACAGAAUACUGGAUACUGGACACAGGAGACAUUGGAGUCAGAAACUGAACGGGAAAAUUUGUGUUCAUGAUUUUUAAAGCGACUUACCGUCGGGGCUGACUAAAAACAUGGUCCAGAACAAAUCCAAAAAAAUCCUUUACCAAAAUAGAAAAGUGAAAGUGAGUGCGCGUCGCGAAAAAAACACUCGACAGAAUCGAACAAUCGGAGCUGAAGUGAAAUGCGACCAAACUAAGCCAAAUUAAAUAAAAGUUAAUUGAGAGAGGUGGGCAAAAACAAUUAAAAGCGUUAAAUUACAUUUAGCUGAAGGACGAAGGACAACCGAUAGCAGGACCGCCACAUCGUUUUGUGUCACGGUGCAUUUGCACAUAAUUGCAAACUGUUGCGUGGCCUGCAGUUUCACUUUUUAUUGCCAGGCUAUAAAAUAAAAAUCCAUUUGCCUGAAACCCUUAUUUUCGACCCACCACACAGACAGACACUCAGCUACACUCUACACUCUCAGCUGUUGCAUACUUGAAACACGAAACCAUAUAGAGAAUAGGGUCCUGGAUACAGGACACCAUUCAGAGACUGCAGUCGGAAGCCCACAGAACAUAACCAUUUAUUUUACGAUCUCAGCCUUGGACAUGCCCCAUUAAAUAUGCCUUUCAAUGUUUUGUUCAAGUUGAAACGGAAGACGAAAAACGUAAAGUGUACAACCAAGCCUUAUGCCAAAGUAAAUUUCACAAAAAUAUUCUCCCAAAAAGACAACCAAAAAUAUAUGCAUAUAGAAACGGAAGCAUCUAAGGAUAGAAGAAUCAACUUUCAGGGAAAUUUGCAUCCGAUUUUUUUGAUACAGGAGUGUCAUAUUAUGGAGUCAUAAAAGUUGAGGAGCACUAUUGGACCAGUCGCAGCAUUAGAGAACGUGCCAGGCAUGCCAACAGCCAAAAUGAGCAUGAUGUAGUAGACAAGGACUCUUCCAGCCAGUCAGCCACCUAACCAGUUAGCAAGGACAUUUUGCCUCUUGUGUUGAUGAUGCGACAUUGACAUCGACCUGUAUGUGUUGACGAGCCGUGAUAAGCAAACUGGAGCUGGGAAUAAGGACCAAGGACCCCACACAAAUUUAACUAAUCUGGCAAGAACGUAACGAAUUGCGUAUACAAAUCCCGACUAGCGAGUUUCCAAGUGAUUAAUUCCGGCAACAAAACAACAGGGCUUGAGCCAAUUACGAGCCAGCGAUAAGGCGGAAUCGAAACGGAGCACCGCCAGAUGCCGCCAUGAGUUUCCUCAGCUCCAUGCAGCAGUAUGUCACGAGUGGCAUCUCCAGUUUGGGCCUCGGCAACCGCCGAUUCUCCCUCUCCCGCCAGGAGUCUACCGAACAACAAUCUGGCUCUUCCACCAGCGGCCCUGCUUCCUCCAUACAGCAACAGCAACAGUCGGGGUUUCCGCAGCAACAUCCGCAAGUAUUACAGACGCAGCUGUCGCAGCAACAGUUGCUGCAUCAGCAGCAGCAAGUAUCGAACGUCCAUGCACCCUUGCAGCAACAGGCGAGCAUUGGCAGCGGCCUAGGCGUUUAUGGGGCGCCCGCCGCACCCACUGGAGGCGUGGCAGCGGCAGCUACCGGCAGUAAUUAUCCUUCAGGUGGCGUGGUAAUCGGCAAUCCGAAUGCCACCAAUCCAUUACUGGGUUACCCGAAAAUACCGGGUGGCAAUCCCGUCACCGUCGGCGGCAGUCCGACUACUUCCGGUUCCGGCGGAGGUGGAGGCGGCACGCCCCAAUCCCGCCGCCAGUCGAGGGCCCUUGAGUGCCUGGCGCCCCCCCGCACCGGAUCCUUCAGGCAGCGAAACUCGCCACUGCACCAGCCGGACCCGCCACCCCGCCCCCCGCUGGCUUUCUGCAAGCGCCGGCUGAGCUGGCCAGAGGUUGACCCACGCUCCAAUUCAGGAGUUCAGGAAACGGAUGGCUCGUAUUUUGAGAAUUUUACAUCGCUCGGCUGGAAACGUGAAAAUCGUCGCAUGUCGGCCACGCGUGCCGCCGAAGCACGUGCCGAGGCUAAUCCCGAGAAUGAACGUGAUCCGCCGGCUACGGAGGAGUCCAUUGACCGCCAGGACGAGAAGGAGAAGCUCUACGUCGAGGUCCUGCACACCAUUGCCAAUACGGUGGGAGCACCUGCACCCGGCGGACAGUUCGCCCAUUACAAGGACGAAAUGUAUCUGCACGCCCAGCGCGCCUUCGGUGUCAAUCCGGAUCGUCAUUAUCGACUCCUGCACGCCUCCGCCGAGGAUAAACCAAAGAUAAUCGUCCUCUCUGCGGUGGUAAUCGAAGCUGAUGGCCUCGAGGCAAAGGAUGCCAAUGGUUUCUCGGAUCCGUACUGCAUGCUGGGCAUCCAGCCGGAUGGAGACGCUUGUCCGCCCGUGUCGCCGCUGCCGCUGCCGCCGACGCCACGAGCCCUCUCGGCGGACAUGAGUGGAGGCUUCGACAACAGCGCCACGGACUCGCCCCCACACCGCAAGCACAGCUUCCGGCUGAGUUUCAAGCGGCGGGACGGGGGAGCGGGUCGGCGGGAGCAGCGCGACUCACUGGGCGGACCGGUGCCGGCCAAGCUGAUCAAGGCGACCUCCAUCAAGCCUCACACCCUCACCCCAAAAUGGAACGAGAAGUUUAAGUUCGACAUAGAUGACAUAAAUACGGAUACCUUUCAUCUGGACAUUUGGGACCACGACGACGAAAGCUGCGUCAUGGACGCUGUGUCGCGACUGAACGAAGUCCGUGGCGUUCGCGGACUGGGACGCUUCUUUAAACAGGUUUGCCAGUCUGCCCGCCAGGGAUCCCAGGACGAUUUCCUCGGCUCGGUGAACAUACCACUUGCCGAGAUACCCUCCACCGGCCUGGAUGCCUGGUUCAAGUUGGAGGCCCGAAGUCAACGGAGCACCGUACAGGGCAGAAUACGACUCAAGCUGUGGCUCUCCACGCGAGAGGAUCGAGGCAAUGUCGGUGACGAGAACCAUGAGAUGCAGAUCCAUAAGAUUGAGCAACUCCAGAAGGUCUUUAUGCAGCACGAGGUGACCACUCAUGAGCCCUCGUGGACCUGGUGCGGAGACCUACCAGGUCCGGCUCUGACCAUACUCCAUCAAUUGGCCGUACAGGCGGAUCUCUCGGAUUUGCAUUGUGCCAUGGCAAGGUAUGUGGCUGCUGCAAAGCUGAACCGAUCCACUCCUUUGGACCCGAAAUUCCUUCACCGGUUGCUUAGCGACGUGGAGAAGCAGUGGAAUCUGCCCAACCAGGAGCCCCUGAGUCGGGAUCUAGAGCAGUGGCUGGCGGAUGCUAUGAACGGGUUCGUAGAGCGCUCCCUGAACCAAAUACGACGGCACAGGGACAUAUUUCCGGCUCUGAAUCCGCCUUCGCUAAUUCGCCUGGAAUUUCUUCUCCGUUGCCUGGGUUUGCUCGGAUCGAUGCGAGCAUUCCGGGCCGUGUGCCCUUUCAACAAGGGCGUACGGGGCGAGGUGGUGAAUGCUCUGCGCAAAGGGUCAGUGAUGUGGGGCCAAGCGGUGCUCCGGGAGUCGCAGAGCUUGCCCAAUCCAUUAUCGAAUUUUGUAACGACAUUAACGGCCGACAUACAGCUGGGACAGACCUACUACCAUGCCCUUUUCGACAAUACGAAUGGCAUUCAGUACUUUAGCAUCAUCUACAAGCAGUACGACGCCAUGGUGGGUGACGAGUUGUACACCAGGAUGGCCGCCGGCCAAGUGCCCGGGGUGCGGAUGAACCUCUCACAGUACGCCGUGCUCGAGGGUGAUGCCGAGCCGGUGGACACAAAGCCCUUUGAACUGUUUCUUGCCCUACAGGAGUUCUGCCAGCUGAAACGGCACCUCUCCGCCCAGCCGCAGCCCCCUGAAAAGCCUCUGGCUCUGAGCAACAGCCACGAAUGGUUCAUACCCACCCUAGAACGCUGGAUGAUGGUCAGUAAGGCGAAGGCGCUGCAGAGGAUUCGGGCAGCCAUACGUAUGGACGCCAUAUGCGAGGGCGAACGGAUAGUGCGGUACAGUAGCUCCUCCGUGGACACGGCCAGCACCCUGUUGAACAUUAAGGAGUUCUGGAAGGUUAUGAACUGGCCUGACGAGGACACAGCAAUCAUGCUGGAGUCGCAGCUGAUCGACGUGGUCUGCUCGGCGGCAAUGCACUACUGCGACCUGAUCCACACUGCCCUGGCGGACAGUGGCUAUUACGAGCAGCAAGGUCCCUUCCGCUGCUCCGAUGACAUGUGCGUCACUGUUAACAAUGUGGAGUACGUGCGUCGCACCUUGGCGGAGUUCCGCUCCGACGAGCAGCCCCUCGAGGAGUCCGCCGACAAUCUGCUAGAGUCCAGUCUCACCCACAUGGAAAACCGCUGCGAGCGCAUACUCUCCAAGCUGGCACCUCUCAUGCAGAUGUCGCUACAGAAGGCUAUGUUUCAUUUGGCCUGGUCCCCGGAUUCCCUACCCGCCAAUCAGGCCAUAGUUCCCCUGCUGGAGUACCUGGAUUGUCACUUGGCCGCUCUCAACAGUGCCAUGCUUACCAAGAACUUUAAUAGGUCGCUACGCUUCAUCUGGAAAACCGUGCUGGGUGAGAUGUCGCGGCAAAUGGAGACCGGCGACGAGACGGACAAGCCCACACACUUUCAUAAGAGGCUAUAUGAGGCUCUUCAGCUACUAGUGGACUUCUUUCACGCCGAGGGCCAGGGCCUGCUUCUAGAGUGCCUCCACACAGAGGACUUCUGGCGCAUCGAGCAGCGUCUGCAGUUCCACAAAACGGACACUGACCGGCUCAUCGACAUGUUUUACAUGCAGCGCCUUCGGGAGCAGAUGAUGGCCGUUAGUCCGGGACCCUACGGAUCGCUGGCUGUGCGGGCCUACUUCAAUCACGAUUCGCUCUGUGUGGAGGUUCUCCACGCCAGGGAUGUGGUGCCCCUGGAUCCAAAUGGUUUCAGUGAUCCAUUUGUAGUCAUAGAACUGCUUCCCAGAAGGAUUUUUCUGCACUGCAUGGAGCAGCAAACAAAUGUGCACAAGCGCACUUUGCAUCCCAUAUUCGAUGAAUGCUUUGAGUUUUCCGUGACCUUGGAGCAGUGUCUUACCGAAGGUGCCAUGAUCUGCUUCACGGUGAUGGAUCACGAUGUGCUGACGGCUAAUGACUUUGGUGGGGAAGCCUUCCUGGCCCUGGGAAACAUACCCGGAGUGGCUGACUACAGCACCAGUGUAGAUAAUUUCCACGGGCUGAAGCAGAUCGAGCUGCCCCUCAUGCAGCAGUUGGAUAAAAACAAUCCCAUUUUGCAAAUCCUCGAGGUCCGAAUCAACGACAAGCAGGCCCAGGACUUUGUGCGCAAACAGAAGGCGCGUCUUAUCAAUUGAUUUUUAAAAGGAUUUACAUAUAAUCCCGAACAUGCAUGAAAGGAAGAAAAAGGAACCGUUUGUAAAACGUUUUGGAUGGGAUCGAGCAAUGUAAUUGCAUCGACAUGACUUGAUAAAUUUACCAAAAGAUAAAUGUUGUAUCCUAAAACAAGCAUUCGAAAUCGAAAUUCAAAUGGUGCAAAAAAGUGACAAGUAACGACAAAAAUUGGACUCUUAAACACUUAAAGUUGCUUGAACCGAAUUACGGAUACAUUUUAGGGAUUUAUUAGAAGCCUAGCAUUGCUGAAAUUGUCACAAUUGGGCAAUCAAAGUCGUUUAAAACCGAAAUUAGCCAUCAAAAUCACAUAAGACAAAACACGAACAAAAAACUCAAGCUACCUAACAGAUGCGUUUUGAAGACUUUUACAAGAAACACUCAUCCUGGGAUUAACACAUCUCGGACAUACACAAAACACAUUUUUUGGGUCAAUUUAAGAAUAUAUAUAUUGAAAAAUAUGAAAGUGUAUAUCUAAAGCACCUUUUUUACUACAGCCAAAAAACAAUCAAAAUCUUGCGAAACUCCGAGCUUCUUUGACAAAAUCCCGCAGAAAAUACGAGACACUGACAACCAAACAUAAUCACAUCCAGACAUGCAGAUUAUUGCUAUUUACAAUAUGAGAUAUAUAGAAUAUAUAUGUGUACAAUUUAUAUCACGCCCAAAGGACAGUGUAACUAAGUCUAAAGUAUAUUUGUAAACUAUUUUCUGAGCACAGAUUUUGUAUAAAUUUAUUAGACACGCGCUUGUCCCCCCAGAGAGGCAGCCUUCGGAUCUUUCGCUUAUACACGACUUAGGGCUUUACCCCACGUCUUAGCCUCUGACACCCCUCCCUUAACCACUUUUGUUCGAACUUUCGUUAGUUUCUUUCCCAACCCACAAGAAGGUCUUGCUUCUAAUGUAAAUUUUGUACUAUAUACAAUGGUCUCUUUAAUGAAGGAGCUCCAACCGACUA
Drosophila bipectinata is the source of this 6464-nucleotide RNA transcript. It is a transcript of the gene named BAI1 associated protein 3, with no coding region annotated. Lineage: Eukaryota; Metazoa; Arthropoda; Insecta; Diptera; Drosophilidae. The record is from RefSeq and is a predicted model, not a curated record.